UACGGGGGGAGCAAGCGUUGUUCGGAAUUACUGGGCGUAAAGGGCUCGUAGGCGGCCAACUAAGUCAGACGUGAAAUCCCCAGGCUCAACCUGGGAACUGCGUCUGAUACUGGAUGGCUUGAAUUCGGGAGAGGGAUGCAGAAUUCCAGGUGUAGCGGUGAAAUGCGUAGAUAUCUGGAGGAAUACCGGUGGCGAAGGCGGCAUCCUGGACCGACAUUGACGCUGAGGAGCGAAAGCUAGGGGAGCAAACGGG
RNAcentral lists this ribosomal RNA (253 nucleotides) under uncultured bacterium. RNAcentral describes it as "partial 16S ribosomal RNA". It matches the Rfam family "Bacterial small subunit ribosomal RNA", at positions 524 to 776 of the family's 1533-position model. The record is from RNAcentral.